GUAUUAAUUGCGUGUGAUCGCAAAGAAAGACAUUCUACACUGUAUCGAGUUUGUGUGAAAACGCGAGCCCCCGGAAGGGGACCCACGCGGUGGUGCACAUAGGGGUGAAAUGGAUGGUUGAGAGCACUUGGGCGUGCACGACGAAAAGUCAGCGACAGCCCAUGUGCCUCGGUUGUACGAUAAUGAUCCUUCCGCAGGUUCACCUACGGAAA
RNAcentral lists this unclassified non-coding RNA (212 nucleotides) under uncultured fungus. Its description in RNAcentral is "sequence contains ITS1". The record is from RNAcentral. Lineage: Eukaryota; Fungi.